Molecule: ribosomal RNA, 253 nt
Filed under: uncultured bacterium
Lineage: Bacteria
Description: partial 16S ribosomal RNA
Rfam family: Bacterial small subunit ribosomal RNA
Source: RNAcentral
UACGGAGGGUGCAAGCGUUGUUCGGAAUUACUGGGCGUAAAGCGUGCGUAGGCGGUUUCUUAAGUCCGUUGUGAAAGCCCUGGGCUCAACCUGGGAACUGCGAUGGAUACUGAGGAGCUGGAGUACGGUAGAGGAAGGUGGAAUUCCCGGUGUAGCGGUGAAAUGCGUAGAGAUCGGGAGGAACAUCAGUGGCGAAGGCGGCCUUCUGGACCAGUACUGACGCUGAGGCACGAAAGCGUGGGGAGCAAACAGG